This 256-nucleotide ribosomal RNA is filed under the name uncultured bacterium. RNAcentral's name for it is "partial 16S ribosomal RNA". It matches the Rfam family "Bacterial small subunit ribosomal RNA", at positions 96 to 354 of the family's 1533-position model. The record is from RNAcentral.
UGGCGGACGGGUGAGUAACGCUGGGGAACCUGCCCUGUACAGGGGGAUAACACUUAGAAAUAGGUGCUAAUACCGCAUAAGCGCACAGUAUCGCAUGAUACAGUGUGAAAAACUCCGGUGGUACAGGAUGGACCCGCGUCUGAUUAGCUGGUUGGCGGGGUAACGGCCCACCAAGGCGACGAUCAGUAGCCGGCCUGAGAGGGUGAACGGCCACAUUGGGACUGAGACACGGCCAAACUCCUACGGAAGGCAGCAG